Molecule: long non-coding RNA, 1548 nt
Organism: Gallus gallus (chicken)
Lineage: Eukaryota; Metazoa; Chordata; Aves; Galliformes; Phasianidae
Source: Ensembl
GGGAUCCCUGAGCAGAAAAGCAUUGGUGCUUCAGGGUGAUGAUAGAAGCAUGCAAUUAGCAGGGGGUGGUUGGGUCCAUCCAGCCCUUCUGUGCAGUGUGUAAGGGUGAGGAGGGGAUGGAGGCCCUGUUUUGUACAAUCCCUUCAAUGCAUUCACAUAUCCCAGACCUCUGGAGCUGCUGAGAAGGUGAGCAGAAUAACGCAGUGUCCUGUUUUCAUGUUGUCUUGCUUACAGAACGCAGCGAUACGGAUGGGAUUUACGCAGAGAAAUUUAAAGAAACGAAGAGAAAAUGCAACCAAAUAGUGCCUUUCAGCCAGGGGUCUUGAAGUGCUGUGUGUGCCUUAAAGCACGGAGCUGCUCAAGGAGCCCUGCAGAGGAGGGAUGCCCUCACCCAACUGGAGCAGGAGGGCUCACAUGGGAGCAGCAUGGCAGCCCCGAGCUGAGUGUUCAGAUAGAGGAAAGGGGCUGAGAGAGGACGAGAUGCAGCGUUCAGCCCUAAACAGAUGGGAACCUGUCAGCACAACGUGGAGAUAAUCAUCCGUUCGAGCCAUGGGAAGCUUCGUGGCUGAGAGGAAGUUAUUGCAGCCAACACAGCUCUGCUUUAUCGUCUCACCAGCUUCCUUGGGCAGAGCAUAUUGGUGAGUUCCAUUAUUCCUUUGAAGAAGCACCAAGAACAUCCUUGUUUCCAUUGGGGGGCUGCAUUGAUGAUGGAGGAAAUCGAUCUCCUGUGGGUAUUUGGGUGGCAGUGCAGUGCUGGGAGGUUCUCAUCCCCCCUCUGGAAAUGAGGAUCAGAACCUAUUUUCUGUUAUAGAGAAUAGAGGGUGUUCUUCUGACCCGGAAAGACCCACAUUACACCCCAAUCUGGAGGAUUACCUUCGACACACCUGGAUCUGUUCUUCACUUCUCAGCCACCUCUGCUGCCACGUUGAGUUACUGUCUCAUGCCUCUGCUUAAUUAGUGCCGCUGUGCUCCGUGUCAGAGCCCAGUGCAGUUCACCAAGCAGCAGGGAGAUGUGCUGCCAGCACUGCUGAUGCAGGAACCUGGUGCCUCUGUGGGUGAAACGUGUGGCAGAAAUACAACAGCUGUGGUGGGAGUGUUCUUUGUGGCGGGGGGGGGGGAAGGGUGUGAGGUAGGUGUGUGAGAUGACAGCCCCUGUAGUGCUGUUCUUCAUCACUGGGAAGCACCGACCCCUACCCAUGCACACGUGUUGAUGUCUGUGUUUAACCUCUCGGUUCUCUUUCAGGGGGGGUUUAAAGGAAGGUGAAUUCCCAAUGGAUUUUUUGGGGUUAUGCAAACAGCCGCCUUCUGAGAUGGGCACACGUGUGAUGCUCACCUAAGCAAGCAGUGCUUUUCCCCUUGGAAACACCCCCUGAGCAUCUGUGAGUCCUUUGCUUUCAUUUUAGUAUUACUGCUAGCAAAUUUCCAAUUGCUGAGAGAAGAAAUCGUUCCCAUUCCUGCUUUCUAGAUAGGGAAACCCAAGCCACAGGCGUUUAACACGAGGCAAGGACCUCAGGAGCCCUGAUAUUCCCUGUUGUAACCAGAGCUUAA